GAACCACGUUGCAGCCGGAGUACAUCUUCUUCAUGAUGUGGUAGUGAUGCUCAUGAUUGUCCAGCAUGGUCAGCUGGUUGCUCAUCCCCUGGCACACUGAAAGCAGACACACAGAGUUCACUGCAGUUCCUCUACCGGCCACUGAGUGGUGCCGUUUCCCUGGUCACCAUGGCAACACAGAGUUUAAGGAGAAAAGAUUCCAUUUUAAUUUGCUGCAAGAUUAAAACCUGCGUCAGAAUAAUUUAGUGAGAAAUUUACUGCAGCAUCAAACUUCUGCUCUUAGAAAAUUACAGACAGCUGAUAAUUCAGAGCCUUAAAAGUAUUUGCUCCUUUACAGAUUUUAAAAUUUAUUAUUUUUGGUUAAAAACCCAAUAUUGAUAUCAAACGAAUAAAACUUCUCUUUACUAAGGGAAUUCAAAUAUAUAACCCAAUUAAUUCUCACUCUUCCUCAUUCUUCAGGCGCGUGCCGAUGUUUUACGGUUACACCCUCUGAGUUGUUCAGGGGAAGUUUCCACUCAAAGGAGCAUAAAGAGAGGAGGCCAGAGGAGUGGCACAUCCCAGCAGCAAAAGCUGAACAAGUCGGCGAGGAAUGAGGCUCUGCAGGCUCACGUCUCUGCUAGAAACAAACCGGCAGCUCAGGAGUCAGAGGUCAAGGGUCAGUAAGAUCUCUGAGUAGGUUCUGCUUCUGAUCUGUGAACUGAAUCAGUUCCUGUCUGAGCAGAAUGACUGACAGCAGGCUGCUGCUCUCAUUCAGCCGCACAGAUCAGAUCAAACCAUUUCAGGAAGGAAGGCAGCCAUGUUGGAACAUCAUCAAACAACAUUCUGAUGACAGUCAGAACCAAUCAAUCAAUAGGUCAGAGAUCAGAAUCAAAGGGUUUUACUUUCAUCAGCUCUGACCUGGAAUCAGCAGUUCAGCUGAUUCCAGUUCUGAGCUGCUUCUUAAUGUUUUAAAAGCAUCAAAACAAAAAACUUCUACCAAUUCUAUCCAUAAACACAUAAAGUAAAAAUCAGAUGCAGGUGAGAAACUUUUGCUUCAUUUUUUCCCAUUUGGUUUCAAAACAACAUCUCUAAGCAGUCAGACCUCAAAGAAAACUGGAAAUCAGAAAAGUUGACGCAGUUCAAACCACAGCUGGCUGAAACUAAACCUGAAGGACAAAUAAAUGAACUGAAUGAAGGUCUGUUCAGGUUAAAGGAGGAGUUAUUGAUGACUGGAGGCUGAUCGGAGCUGAUGGACCCCAGGUGGAGUUCUCCUGGGGCCCCGCUGACCUUUGGGCCGGCCCUGGACGGACCGUCCACCAGAUGAACCAACGUGUGUCCAACACUAACAGCUCAGAGAUGAACGGCGAACCAACACAGCUGAGCUGGGAGUGAUCCUGAUUGGCUGCCGGCUGGCUGAGGGGCCGUCCCAUUGGCCGGAGCCUCCUGGGGAACGCUCCACAUCUGGACUCAGACGUAAUGACUUUUCUUAUUUAUUCCUUUCUUUCCAUCUCCAUCCCUCCUUCAUGUAUCCUGAUCCUGUUUUCUCCUUCAUUCUCUUCCUUCCAUUCUUUCUUCCCUCCUUCCUGUUUGUCCUCAUUCUGCAUCUCCAUCCCUCCUUCCGUCCUCCCACUCCUCCCAGGUGUCUCUCUUCUCUCCCACUCGUUUAUUCCCAUCCCUACAUCGAAGAUUCCCAAACAUCCUUGUUUUCCUUCUCUCCUCAACAUCCGUCUGCAUUCAUUCCUCAUUUCUCCGUUUCUCAGAGUCUCCAAACCGCUCAGGUCCUGGAACGUUCGUCAGAAUUCCCUCCUGCCGGCUCGUUCAGUUUUCCAGAGGAAUCGGCUCAUCCAGGCUGAAUGCAGCCGUUCGGUCCAGUUUGUUGAUUUCACACGGUUCUUUACAGAAUCACAACCAGAACAGAACCGGACCAGAACUCGACCAGAACAUGAUGAGGUCAGAGAAACAUGAGCCGUGAAGCGGACAUGAGCAGAACCCGGUCAGCUUCCUGCAUGGCAAAAACACUAACUACUUAUUAUUAUGGUUAUUAUUUUGUGGAUAUUUCUAAAAUAACUGAAACAUAAAUAAAAAUUAAUUUAAAAAACAUCAUUUUAAAAAUGUGGCGACAAGCUAAAAUAUUCUGAAAGACGAUGAAUCUGAUCCACAAAGUCAGGGAACAAAAUCCCAUAAAUUCCUGCAUGUUUUCAUCUGUGGAUGUAAAACAACACAGUGAACCUUUAAGGAGGCGACCCGUCGGCUUCAGGUCCAGGACGGUUCUACACACUGAGUCACAUGGAAACAACAAAAACUUCUUUCCUUCCUGUUUUCUAUCUUUGCUGGUUUUAUUCCCUACAGUGAGAUUUUUCCUAGAGUGUAGUCAUUGUUCUGAGUGGCUGUAAAUACCAGAAAACAUCCCCGUUUCUCUGGUUUUGAACAAAAACUCUGUGGAAGGAAACAGACGGUGUGUUUGCUCAGGAACAGGUCGGGCCUGUCUGCGUCUGCAGCAGCUCCACUGAAACCCGACGCAGCGAGAAGCUGAGAGUUAAAGAUAGAAACAAAACUUCAUGUCACAAACCGAAGGCUUGGAGUUCAUCUUCAUGUUCGGCUCCAUUAGAGCAAAAACACAAAACCUGAAGUGUUUUAGAUUCUAAUGCAAAUACUUUAGAACCAUAAUGCAGAGAGUUGAGCUGCAGGAUCAUUAUAGAAUUACUUAGACAAUAUGAUACUGUGAUGCUGCUCAGCUGCAGCCUGUUUUGUCCAUUUUAAUGUAAUUAUGCACAGUUAUAAAAACAAUGAAGCUGAUGUGUCAGAACAGGAAAUAUGACUGGAACAUCCUGCAGCUCAGCUCAACAUUUCAUCUGAAAUCUGGACGGUUUUCUAUCCGUCAGCUGAACUUCAUACAACAGUUUUUGUGUCUGUGCUGCAAAAUGAAACCUUUUAAACUUAUUCCUCUUUUCUAAAACCCUAAAAGUCCAAAUGUUCCAUGAAAAGAGAAGAAGUGAGGCAGACGGAUCAGAACGGGUCACAUGUUGGUUUAACGACUUGGUUCUGUUAUCGCAUGUGAAUCUGCUUGUUUUGGUUGAAAUGAAUGUUCCUGAAAGUCUCUACCUGCAGCAGAUCACAAUCACAGCGCCGACCAAUCAGAGCUCAGAGGGAGGACAGUUCAGAUGGAGAUGACACAACAAACAACGAUGGAUUAAACUACCGAGUGAGGAUGUGAGGAGAACCAGGAGAAAACCUCUACAUGCAAACUGCAGGCUGGGAUUCAAACCCACAACCUUCCUGCUGCAGACAUCAGUAACAACAACUGAUCCACCAAAUGUGAGAGCUACUAAUUCAAUAAAUCCACAACUUUAACCAAAUUCAACCAAAGCAAGACGACCUGCAGACUGACUGGAAACCUAAAACUAUUUCAACUUUCAGGAUGCAGGAAGAAAACCAACAGAUUAAAACACAAACUCUUCAUUCAUGAGACUCAAUCUUUCAUACUGCAGGAUAAUUAAUCCAUGAAAACAAACUGAAUCUUCAGGUUGAAGAAACAACCAGCAGAUUUUACCUGUAAAGUCAUUAUUUUACUAAACUUUGUAGAAUUUGAAAACUCUCUGCUUUUUAUGUUUCUGAAAUAUAAAAAUGAUUCAUUGAUCUUUGCAACAAGCAGUCUGACCCCCGGGCAGAGGAAGACCUCUGUCUGUAAUAAACAAUCUGUGCGUCUGGUCUGUCAGGUUGAGCCUGUGAUGAGCAGAACCUCCUGACUGGAUCCGGUUUGUUUUUCAGGUGAAGCUGCCGGCCUGCCUGGACCUGCAGCUCCGUUUUCCCUCCUGCUGCUUUUCCAUCCAGCCUGUUUGACGGAGCGUAAAGCGGCUCAGAUUAUUUAUGACUGGAAACCUUUAAAGUGUCUCUGGUGAAAGUUUGCUGACAUGGAAUCGACAGUUUUCCGCCUGCAGCUCCGAUCAAUGGAAACGUUUGUCGUUCAAAUGGUUUUAAACUGCAGUUAAAAGCUUUUAUUGAUCCACAUGAGCAGCAGAUCGACUGAACGCAGCUCCGACCUUCAGAUGAACUGAUUCAAUAAUCAUCUUUAAAAUCCACCAGCAGAGUUUUGGAAAGUUUUCACUCAUUUCUGGUCCAGUUUAAAACAGCUGAGGCUGAAAAAACUGAUUUAAAAACCAUGCAGUCCUGAAAACAUCUGCAGGUAAACAGAAAGUCUUCAGGAGAAUCUGAAACAAGCUGAUCUGAUCUGCCAGGUUUGAACUAGACACGUUUGAUCAAACACAAAAUAAUCCCAUGUUUUAUUUCCGUUCAGUUAAAGCGACAGGAACACAUUGUGACAAACUGCUGGGAACAAAACGCCUGAAGAUCCGAUGAAAACAGGAUCAUUCCUGAAAGACUCAGCAGUUUAUUGUGUUUAAAACAUUUUUAUGAAAAUGUUCAUGAACUGAAAAAGAAGCCAAAGGGAAUCCAGGAAAAUCCGACCAAAUCCACUGAGGAGCGGGAGUCUGAGCUGGUUCCAGAUCAAAAACUACAAAAAUCUAUUUAACUGAAUAAAAUGUUUCCAGUGAACCUCAUAAAAAUCAGCAGCAGGUUUUUAAAGUGGUUUGAAUAUUUACUAAAAUCGUCUUUACAUCGUCAUGGAGCCCACAGACUUUUCUCUUACUUUAACUAGGACAAUGAGUUCAGCUGAGUCCUCAACACAUUUCCAUCCACAA
Molecule: non-coding RNA, 4676 nt
Organism: Poecilia reticulata (guppy)
Lineage: Eukaryota; Metazoa; Chordata; Actinopteri; Cyprinodontiformes; Poeciliidae
Source: RefSeq, a predicted model, not a curated record